RNAcentral lists this ribosomal RNA (253 nucleotides) under uncultured bacterium. Its description in RNAcentral is "partial 16S ribosomal RNA". It matches the Rfam family "Bacterial small subunit ribosomal RNA", at positions 524 to 776 of the family's 1533-position model. The record is from RNAcentral.
UACGAAGGGGGCAAGCGUUGUUCGGAAUUACUGGGCGUAAAGAGCGUGUAGGCGGCCAGACAGGUCAGCUGUGAAAACUCGAGGCUCAACCUCGAGAUGUCGGCUGAAACCAUCUGGCUAGAGUCCGGAAGAGGAGAAUGGAAUUCCCGGUGUAGCGGUGAAAUGCGUAGAGAUUGGGAGGAACACCAGUGGCGAAGGCGACUUUCUGGACUGUAACUGACGCUGAGGCAUGAAAGCGUGGGGAGCAAACAGG